AGCGAACGCUGGCGGCAGGCCUAACACAUGCAAGUCGAACGAACCUUUCGGGGUUAGUGGCGGACGGGUGAGUAACACGUGGGAACGUGCCUUUAGGUUCGGAAUAACUCAGGGAAACUUGUGCUAAUACCGAAUGUGCCCUUCGGGGGAAAGAUUUAUCGCCUUUAGAGCGGCCCGCGUCUGAUUAGCUAGUUGGUUGAGGUAAUGGCUCACCAAGGCGACGAUCAGUAGCUGGUCUGAGAGGAUGAUCAGCCACAUUGGGACUGAGACACGGCCCAAACUCCUACGGGAGGCAGCAGUGGGGAAUCUUGCGCAAUGGGCGAAAGCCUGACGCAGCCCUGCCGCGUGAAUGAUGAAGGUCUUAGGAUUGUAAAAUUCUUUCACCGGGGACGAUAAUGACGGUACCCGGAGAAGAAGCCCCGGCUAACUUCGUG
Molecule: ribosomal RNA, 434 nt
Filed under: uncultured bacterium
Lineage: Bacteria
Description: partial 16S ribosomal RNA
Rfam family: Bacterial small subunit ribosomal RNA
Source: RNAcentral